CCUAAUUCCCUCUCUCUUGUGCAGCUGCCCCCAUCCCCUCAACCCUAGCCGCCCCCUCCCAUCUCCUCCUCUCCAAGUGAUGUCCUUCCUCGCCGGAUCUUCUUUGUGUGGGUGCAAGUUCGGAUUGGAGAAUUGGUGGGAGGAAGGAAGGAUGAAAGGAGGAACCCAAGGUGAUUUUGUAAUUAACUCUUGUUUAUUUGUGCUGCAAUUCAAUCGAUUAGAUGUUUACGUAUGCGAAUUGGUAGAGGUGCUGCCCAGAAAUUUUGUGGGUGGGCGAACAGCAGUAGUUCUAGCAGAUUCUAGGUAUUUUUCGUGGGUAAUUAGUGGGAAUCAGUGGGAGAAUCAUGUAGAGCUUUGUCAUACCUUUCCAACGAGUACUUAUGCGCUCGAUUCGGAGUUAUAUUUUAGGAGAUAUCGCUGUUUGAAUCCGGGUAUGUUGCUGUUCAAAAAAAACAGAUUUUGCAGGUGGGCGAACAGCAGUAGUAUUAGCAGUUUCUGGGGAUUUUUCGUGGGUAAUUAGUGAUAAUCAGUAUUACAGUCAUGUAGAGCUUUGUCAUACCUUUCUAACGAGUACUUAUGCGCUCGAUUCGGAGUUAUAUUUUAGGAGAUAUCGCUGUUUGAAUCCGGGUAUGUUGCUGUCCAAAAAAACAGAUUUGCAGGUGGGCGAACAGCAGUAGUAUUAGCAGUUUCUGAGAAUUUUUCGUCGAUAAUUAGUGAUAAUCAGUAUUACAAUCAUGUAUAGCUUUGUCAUACCUUUCCAACGAGUACUUAUGAGUUCGAUUCGGAGUUAUAAUUUAGGAGAUAUCAUUGUUUGAAUCCGGUUAUGUUGCUGUCCAAAAACAGAUUGCAGGGUGUAUCUUGUAGACGAGUUUGGGCUAAUUAGAUGUUGAAAUUUAAUUAUCAUUUGAAUAUAAAACUUGUGGGGAAUUUUAUGUAGAUGCUUCCGUAGUUUUUGAUUGAUAUCACUGCUGUUAUAAUUUUAAAGUUAUGAAAUUAUCAAGCAGCGCCGCUGCAGUUUGGUGGUGAUGGGGAGAGUUGUCGCUCGCGACGGGUUGGAAUUUUGCGUAGGUGCGGCGUUGUUUAUUAGCGUUUGUUAUAUUGAUUUGUACACUAAGGUGUGUGUCAAAAACAGGUGGUAGACUUUCGGAUCGUACUUAGUACCAUUCCAAAUUCCCGGUGAAGGCAAGUAAAUGCAGUGGUGGUUCCUACCGUUUGGUUUGCAUCCUAUGCCUUGUCAUUGAGUAUGCAUAAGUAUUAAAUGUGUUAAUCAUUGAAUUCUAUGAUAAAGUUUAUUUGUUCGAAAUAAUUAAUUCUCAAUUGUCUAAUAUUGCGGAUGAUCAUGAUUUGGGAAUGAUAUAUGUGGUUGAUUCCCAUCUUGGAUGAAGUUGAAGUAUCUUUUUGAAUCACGUUGUAUGAAGUGUUGUAGGCAUGUCAUGCACAUCGCAUCAUCCAUCUUGCAUUUUGAAGUUAUGUCGUGAUCUUAUGGUCCGACCGUACCGGUACACUUUUAGCAUCGUACGUUGCCCGAGGAGGGGUACGAUGCGGCUUCAUAUCCUUAGAGGUAUGAAGGCAGAAGUCAUCCUUGCAUUUGCAGACAUUUGCACUCAUGAGGUAUAUAUGAAGUGUGACAUUACUAUGUUACUAUUGUGGUUUCUACCUGCGAGGUGUGGUAACUAGGUGUGUUGUACGUUGUAUUCGUGCUGCACCUUCGUAAUAAGAAGGUUGUGAAAUCAAGUGGUGGUAAAACAAUAUUCUUAUGUGGUUAAACAUUUUGUUAUUAUUUUACUUGCUGAGAUGUGUCAUCUCACUCUUGCAUUACUCAAUGCAGGUACUUGAUAUAUGUUGGGAAUGAGGGGAGUAGCAGCGCGUCCACUUUCACUCUCAUAUUAACGCUGCCCAGGCGCAGCCAUGAUUUAAUUAGAAACUAGAUGUCAAAGGAUGUUUGUUUUUUUACUAGUCGUGUGCACUGGUUAAUUCAGUUCAUGUCGUAUGUUUAACUUCCCUUUGC
This 2008-nucleotide long non-coding RNA is filed under the name Zea mays. RNAcentral's name for it is "long non-coding RNA (ZMAY_LNC000811)". The record is from RNAcentral. Lineage: Eukaryota; Viridiplantae; Streptophyta; Magnoliopsida; Poales; Poaceae.